UUGUAAGUCAAAUUGAAAAAUGCUCCACGCUAGAGCAUUUUUCAUUUUUCAAUAUUGUAAGUCAAAUUGAAAAAUGCUCCACGUUAGAGCAUUUUUCAUUU
This 101-nucleotide small RNA is filed under the name Mytilus galloprovincialis (Mediterranean mussel). The record is from RNAcentral. Lineage: Eukaryota; Metazoa; Mollusca; Bivalvia; Mytilida; Mytilidae.